Molecule: small RNA, 177 nt
Filed under: Gopherus agassizii (Agassiz's desert tortoise)
Lineage: Eukaryota; Metazoa; Chordata; Testudines; Testudinidae
Description: TUC338 (ENSGAGG00000012301.1)
Source: RNAcentral
UUUCCAGCCUUGAAGAUUGAAAUCCUCUAUGCACAGAACAGAUACAGCAUGGCAGCAGCUGUGCAAGUUUGUUCCUACAGGCUGCACAAUGUGCCUCAGCCUAACCCUUGCUUGCUGGUAACUAUGUAUGGAUGAGAGAGAACAGUUUGCUCCUCAAGGUUCAUUCAGUUUGCUCCU